UGAACGCUGCAUGAAACUGGCCCGCCUCAAUGAAACAAAAGGGAAAAUAAGGAAAAGGAAGGAUACGGUGGUUCUGGCUUCCCAUCAUAGAGAAGGAAUUUAUCGGGUUAUAUCAUCGAAGUGAAGUCGACAAACAAAAGGAACUUGGCAGUUAUUUAGGGUUUAUCGUCGGGAACAGCUAUCCAAGAUCGCCAAAGGACUUCAAUCUGAUCGCUUGGUGUGUUCACGAGCUUCAGUUAGCUGGUUGAUGCACCACAAUCGAAUCUAAAGUAAAUGGGGAUUGGUUGGCAGUUCUAGAUUACAUAUUUAUUUCCAUUUGAGAAGAGAAGGUGAUUAUGGCAGGGCAACUGCCGUGGAAUCCUUCUCAGCAAGGGACUACAGGAAGUGGAGCCUAUGUGGUGUUCCAGAGUACAUCAGAAGGGUCUCACGGCUGUGCACCUAGAUGGUACUUCAGUAGACAAGAAAUAGAAGAGUAUUCGCCAUCUAGAAAGGAUGGAAUUGAUUAUAGGAAGGAGAGCCAACUUCGCAAGUUUUACUGUUCAUUUAUACAGGAGUUGGGCAUGAAGCUUAGAGUACCCCAAUUAACAAUUGCGACAGCGAUGAUUUUAUGCCACCGGUUUUAUUUGCACCAAUCUCAUGCAAAGAAUGAAUGGCAGACAAUUGCUUCAGUAUGCAUGUUUCUUGCAAGCAAGGUUGAAGAAACACCUCGUUUGCUGAAGGAUGUUGUUGUUGUGGCUUAUGAGACAAUCAACAAGAGGGAUCCUACUGCUGCACAAAGAAUAAAACAGAAGGAAGUUUAUGAGAAGCAGAAGGAACUAAUUGUUAUAGGGGAGAGACUUCUACUUGCAACUAUCGCAUUUGAUCUCAAUAUCCAACAUCCAUAUAAGCCACUGGUUGCAGCUUUAAAGAGAUUAAAGACUUCCCAUAAUGACCUUGUAAAAGUGGCUUGGAAUUUUGUGAAUGAUUGGCUAUGGACAACAUUGUGCUUGCAAUACAAACCGCAUUACAUAGCAGCUGGAUCUUUGUACCUUGCUGCAAAAUUUCAUAAAGUGAAGUUGCCUACAGAAAGCGGGAAAGCUUGGUGGUUGGAGUUUGAUGUUUCUCCACUGCGGUUAGAAGAGGUUAUCCAGCAGAUGCUUGGGAUGUUGGAGCAGAAAAAAAGACCUUUAAUUCCUUCUGUGUGUGAGAAGGCAAUUGAUGCUGCAGUUGUUGGAAAGGCAGUUUCCUGCGGUUCACAAUCUUGCAUUCUAAGUGCAUCCAUUGGGGGUUCUGUUUCAAGCCAAGGUUCUAAUGGAGAUGUUGAGAAGGCAGUUGAUGCUGCAGUUGUUGAAAAGGCAGUUUCCUGCUGUUCACAAUCUUGCAUUCUAAGUGCAUCCAUUGGAGGUUCUGUUUCAAGCCAAGGUUCUGAUGGAGAUGUUGGUGGAGGUGACAUGUCUACAAGCAUGAAAGAGACAUAUUGCUCUAUUUCUGAAAAAGGAGAACCGUCACAAUGUCGGGCAAGUGACUGUGGAAGCAUGAACAGUGUUGUUGAAGAUGGCAAUACACCUGAAGUGGGUGAGGUUCAGCCAACGAUACUGGAAUCAGAUCAGAUAUCAAGUUGUAAGAUAGUGUCUGUUAAUGUUGGCCUCAGUGAUUUUGAUAAGGUUCGCAUGAGAGAGGCAUUAAAGAGGAGGAGAAGUGAGAGAGCUACGAGGAUGGCUGUGGUUGCCAUUGAUGAUGAUGAUGAUGAUGCCUGGAUAGAGAGAGAAGUAGAAAAGGGUGUAGAGGUGGAGACUGCCUCUGCAGAAAAGAGACAGAAGUUGGUAUUAUGAAGUUUGCUUUUGAACUGAGGCUCAAUUAAUUAUUGAAGAGUCUCUUUACCUGUCCUAAUAGAAAGGAGGAAAAUGGUUAUUGAGAUCAUCAACUGGAAACUCUAUAUUGAUUGGAAGACUGGACUUCUUCAUCUGUGAAACUAAUGUAUGUGGGGAACCACACUGGGGUAGACAGGAGGGAACCAACAAGGAAGACGAGUGGCAUCGAUCCACGAGAGGCCAUUGGACCAUACAACUCUUGACAAUGACAGUGGCCCGAAAUUCCCUUCCAUGAUCCUUGACACCCAUCCAAGCACAACGAUGACUAUAUUCCUUCACCGUGGCUCAAGGAAAACUCAAUCCUUAAAUAUUUAUCAUUCAGAGCGAAUCAUGGUGAAAAGCCAUAAACUCAUAUAUACCUAAAGUUGUGGUACGUUUUACACAUACAAUUCAAACAUUAAUCAUGCUAUCACACAACUUAGAGACUUCUCAUGCUAGAGGGGUCCAAUCCAAAAUUUUAAGACA
Macadamia integrifolia is the source of this 2315-nucleotide RNA transcript. It is a transcript of the gene named cyclin-T1-4-like, with no coding region annotated. The record is from RefSeq and is a predicted model, not a curated record. Lineage: Eukaryota; Viridiplantae; Streptophyta; Magnoliopsida; Proteales; Proteaceae. The transcript has 9 exons.